Molecule: long non-coding RNA, 1773 nt
Organism: Bubalus bubalis (water buffalo)
Lineage: Eukaryota; Metazoa; Chordata; Mammalia; Artiodactyla; Bovidae
Exons: 4
Source: RefSeq, a predicted model, not a curated record
CCUGAGGCUGGAGAGGCUAUGAGCUCAUGCUGGGGCUGGGAAGGGGGGGGUCAGGGACACUUCACCACUUGUGUAUUUCUUGGGGUGACUCCAAUUUCUCAACACCUCCAAUUUUGUCUUUCCCCAUUCCUUCCUCCCUCCCUCUCCCUGUUGCCGUCAGCCUGAACUUUUAUUACUUUCUCUAAUGAAACACACUCUAUCUCACCUUGAUGCGUUUGAAACAGCUGUUUCUUCUAGAUGGAACAAUUCUACCCUCCUUAACAUCCUUCCUUCCACAAACCAUCUGUGCUAAAACAGGACUCUUCCGGUCUCAGACUAAACCUCACUCCCUCAGGGAAGUCAUUCCUGGCUCCUCCAUCCUCUAAGAUUAGGUGAUAUCCACUGCAUCUUUCCUUCCCACUUCCAGGCAUCUCUUCUAGAUUGGACACUCUGGGAGAGGAGGGUCACACCAACCUGUUCAGCUUUGUAUUCCCAUUGACUGGAACAAUGCUAAGCACACAUUGAAGCUAGAGUAAUUCAGUCUUGGACAUCACCUGGCUCAGUCUCUUAACGUGGGACUUUGCAGAGGACUUUGAUUUCAUCCUGUGAGACUUCUAGCAGAGAACUUAUGCUCAGCCCAGAUUCCUGACCCCAGGAAAUGCACUAUCAGUGACAUUCCAGGGUGGACUUCUUCUAUCACCUUGGAUACUUAUGUUGGUUGCUGUAACUUGAAAUCAAGAAAUGGCAUCUCUCCCACCCACGGUUGGAACCUGUGUCUCCUGCCUUGCAGGUGAAUUCUCUACUGUUGAGUCACCUGGGAAGCUCACCAAGCCACUUGCAGGCUUCCAGAUUCAAAAGCACGCCUGCACCUUAGCAUCUCUGCACACACGUUUUUGAUCUGUUCUGAAUACUCUCCCCCACUUCUCUGUUUCAUGCUUCAGAGCUCAGUUCAGGUGCCAUUUUCCUCAGGGCCACCCUCCCUUAAGGAAACUUGGUUCUUCAAGGAAAAUCUCAAACAAAGGACAAUCUGGAGGGAGAAUUAGGAAGUGAAAAAUUCCCAAUUGUGACACUGCCUUUGUAUUUUGCUUUACACAUACUUCAAUGUAGGGCUUAUUUUCCAACAUUGAAAUGGUUGUUUUCUAUGGCUGCUUCUCCCCCUAGACUACAGCCUCUUGGAAGGCCAAAUCCACAUCUUUUCAUUCCUCUGUACUUAGUUGGUCGUGUGGCUGAAUCUUUUCCAAAGGCUUUCUGAGUUCAACACAACAAUCUUAUACUAACACUAGUGCAGCAGAUGUGGAAACCUUAAUUAUUUUAUUAGUUGGCCUUAGAAUCCUUUUUAUAUGUGCUUGCCUGUUUUGGUUAAGAAGAAUCCCUUGAGAAGCCACUUGAGGCUUGAAUGAAAGCUCAGAGCAUCUGAACUUUGGGGGGAAAAUUCAAGGUGAUGAAAGAAAAGGGUACUUGGCUCUGUGUGAGAAGAUGAAAGGAAGGUGGCUUUGCUCCUGGGGUAGGGAGAGAAGGACUAUGAUAGUAGAAGAAAGGGAAAUGAAAUAGGGCAAGUGAUGAGCGAAAGAGAUUGGGAAAGAGGGGCAUCUGUCACCAGUGAGAUGGGCUGAGAUUAAGGCAUGAGAUGGGAUGAAGCAGCCAGGGAAAGUUCUCUGGUUCCAGGGUGACCAAAGCAUUUCAGCAACAGAUGAAGUUUUUAUAUCACUUUGAUUAGGAAUCUCUUCUAUGUGUGUCCUGUGUAGCUCAUAAUUUUCAAUAAAAUCCACCAACUCACAAAUGCCUUUUACAAGU